GAUGAACGCUGGCGGCGUGCUUAACACAUGCAAGUCGAACGGAAAGGCCCAAGCUUGCUUGGGUACUCGAGUGGCGAACGGGUGAGUAACACGUGGGUGAUCUGCCCUUCACUUCGGGAUAAGUCUGGGAAACUGGGUCUAAUACCGGAUAGGACCACCUGCUGCAUGGUGUGGGGUAAAGUUUUUCGGUGUGGGGUGAGGUUGCGGCCUUUCAGCUUGUUGGUGGGGGUAUGGUCUACCAAGGCGGCGGCGGGGAGCCGGCCCGGGGGGGUGGACGGCCCCCUUGGGACUGGGGUUCCGCCCCGACUCCCACCGGGGGGCAGCGUGGGGGAUUUUUCACCAAGGGCGCGAGCCCGAUGCAGCGACGCCGCGGGGGGGGUGGCGGCCUUCCGGUUGGAAACUCCUUUCGGUCUGGACGAAGCGUUAUGUGACGGUACCUGGAGAAGAAGCACCGGCUAACUACGUG
This 466-nucleotide ribosomal RNA is filed under the name uncultured bacterium. RNAcentral describes it as "partial 16S ribosomal RNA". It matches the Rfam family "Bacterial small subunit ribosomal RNA", at positions 28 to 507 of the family's 1533-position model. The record is from RNAcentral.